This 628-nucleotide long non-coding RNA is filed under the name Gallus gallus (chicken). Lineage: Eukaryota; Metazoa; Chordata; Aves; Galliformes; Phasianidae. The record is from RNAcentral.
CCACAGCCAUGCAUAAUUUAUGUGCAGUUUGAACAUCCUGUGAAAAUGGGCCAAAGAUGUUUUUUUAUAAAUUGGGCUCUCUGAAUUCUAGAUGAUCUUUAGCAUUCAUUAUAGCUCAAGAAGCUCGGGCAAUAUCGCAGAUGUGCAGCUCUGUGUAUUUUCUGACUCAGUUUCCUCUCAGCCAGCCAAUUUAAACACUGAACCAUUUCCUCUGCCAGCGUCACCGGAGUCCAAUGUUGCAUUACACUACAGCACUUCAUCGCUGCACUGUGGUCUGUCAGAGGAAGAAGGGCGCAUUGUCCGGGAGCUGUAGGAUUCCCAUUGCAGUUACACCUCCUGGAAGGAAACCAGGAGAAAUGCCUUGCAAGCCGAACCUCAGCACAGGAAGUCCCUGGUGGCUUUAUCCUAUUGAAGACCUGAAUGCUAUCAAUCCCUCUCAGCCACUUGCCGACACAAGAGCAGCAGAGCAGGCUAGACUUCAAAUGACCACAUCAUCUGCAGAGGCCCUAAAGGGUUAAUAGUGACUUACAGUAGUAUUCCUUGAGACAAAACAAGGCAUUUGGAUUUUUUUUUUUUUUUGCUAAAAAGUUGAGAAAAAUCUUUUGAUAAGAAACUCCACGUGAAACAC